RNAcentral lists this ribosomal RNA (619 nucleotides) under Symbiodinium sp. B1. RNAcentral describes it as "eukaryotic LSU rRNA". It matches the Rfam family "Eukaryotic large subunit ribosomal RNA", at positions 24 to 605 of the family's 3401-position model. The record is from RNAcentral. Lineage: Eukaryota; Dinophyceae; Suessiales; Symbiodiniaceae.
CCCGCUGAAUUUAAGCAUAUAAGUAAGCGGGGGAAAAGGAACUAAAUAGGAUUCCCUCAGUAAUGGCGAAUGAACAGGGAUGAGCUCAGGCUGGAAACCGAUACAUCUGUGUCGGGCUGUAGCCUGCAGGCAUAGCGCUAUCGGCGGCUCGAGCGCAAGCCUCUUGGAAUAGAGCGUGUGCCCGGGUGAGAAUCCUGCAUUUCGCUCGAUGUCCGCUGUCCACAGUGCUUGUCCUGAGAGUCACGCUCCUCGGAAUUGGGGCGUAAAUCAGGUGGUAAGUUUCAUCCAAAGCUAAAUAGAAGCUCGAGACCAAUAGCAAACAAGUACCAUGAGGGAAAGAUGAAAAGGACUUUGGAAAGAGAGUUAAAAGUGUUUGAAAUUGCUGAGAGCGAAGCGAACGGAGCCACAUGUCGUGCUGAGAUUGCUGUGGGUCUUUGUGAGCCUUGAGCAUGUAAGCGCAAGCUGACUGCUUAUGUGUGAGCAUUUGCCCGCAGUGUUUCUCAGCAUGCGAGUCAUUAGCCACAUUUGUUUGAGGAUGGCCUUCAGCUCACAUGGUACACUUGUUAGUGUUCCUCUGUGCGGUGUGGGACUCAGACAGGUGUGGCUUGUUGACCCAGUG